RNAcentral lists this ribosomal RNA (829 nucleotides) under uncultured bacterium. RNAcentral describes it as "bacterial SSU rRNA". It matches the Rfam family "Bacterial small subunit ribosomal RNA", at positions 8 to 817 of the family's 1533-position model. The record is from RNAcentral.
AGAGUUUGAUCCUGGCUCAGAGCGAACGCUGGCGGCGUGCCUAACACAUGCAAGUCGAACGUGAAAGGGGGCAACCCCGAGUAAAGUGGCGUACGGGUGAGUAACACGUAGGCAAUCUACCUGAGAGUCUGGGAUAACCUGCCGAAAGGCGGGCUAAUACUGGAUAGAGCGAUGGAAUCCGUAAUUGGGUUUUUCGGGAAAGGGAGCUCGUAAGGGCCCUUGCUCUCAGAUGGGCCUGCGUCCCAUCAGCUAGUUGGCGAGGUAAUGGCUCACCAAGGCGAUGACGGGUAGCUGGUCUGAGAGGAUGAUCAGCCACACUGGAACUGAAACACGGUCCAGACUCCUACGGGAGGCAGCAGUGGGGAAUCUUGCGCAAUGGACGGAAGUCUGACGCAGCCACGCCGCGUGAGUGAAGAAGGCCUUCGGGUUGUAAAGCUCUGUCGAGCGGGACGAAAGACCGCAGGGUGAAUAGCCUUGUGGAGUGACGGUACCGCUAAAGGAAGCACCGGCUAACUCUGUGCCAGCAGCCGCGGUAAUACAGAGGGUGCAAGCGUUGCUCGGAAUCAUUGGGCGUAAAGGGCAGGUAGGUGGUCUCAUUUGUCUGGGGUGAAAGCCUUGGGCUUAACUCAAGAAGUGCCCCGGAAACGGUGGGACUGGAGUCCUGGAGAGGAUCGUGGAAUUCCCGGUGUAGCGGUGAAAUGCGUAGAGAUCGGGAGGAACACCAGAGGCGAAAGCGGCGAUCUAGACAGGAACUGACACUCAACUGCGAAAGCGUGGGGAGUAAACAGGAUUAGUACCCUGGUAGUCCACGCUGUAAACGAUGGGUACU